This 491-nucleotide ribosomal RNA is filed under the name uncultured bacterium. Its description in RNAcentral is "partial 16S ribosomal RNA". It matches the Rfam family "Bacterial small subunit ribosomal RNA", at positions 29 to 507 of the family's 1533-position model. The record is from RNAcentral.
AGUGAACGCUGGCGGUAGGCCUAACACAUGCAAGUCGAACGGCAGCACAGUAAGAGCUUGCUCUUACGGGUGGCGAGUGGCGGACGGGUGAGGAAUACAUCGGAAUCUACUUUUUCGUGGGGGAUAACGUAGGGAAACUUACGCUAAUACCGCAUACGACCUACGGGUGAAAGCAGGGGAUCUUCGGACCUUGCGCGAUUGAAUGAGCCGAUGUCGGAUUAGCUAGUUGGCGGGGUAAAGGCCCACCAAGGCGACGAUCCGUAGCUGGUCUGAGAGGAUGGUCAGCCACAGUGGAACUGAGACACGGUCCAGACUCCUACGGGAGGCAGCAGUGGGGAAUAGUGGACAGUGGGCGCAAGCCUGAUCCAGCCAUACCGCGUGGGUGAAGAAGGCCUUCGGGUUGUAAAGCCCUUUGUUGGGAAAGAAAAGCAGCAGGUUAAUACCCCGCUGUUCUGACGGUACCCAAAGAAUAAGCACCGGCUAACUUCGUG